RNAcentral lists this ribosomal RNA (5802 nucleotides) under Triticum aestivum (bread wheat). RNAcentral's name for it is "partial small subunit ribosomal RNA". Lineage: Eukaryota; Viridiplantae; Streptophyta; Magnoliopsida; Poales; Poaceae. The record is from RNAcentral.
AUGGAGGCGACGGGGGUGAGCUUGGGGAAGGCCGCGUUGGGCGGCGCACUGGGCUAUGCAACGUCCAAGGCGGCGGAGGAAAUCGCGCUGCAGCUCGGCGUCGAGCGCGAUGUGGACUUCAUCAAGGAUGAGCUGCAGAUGAUGCAGUCAUUCUUGAUGACGGCGGAUGAGGAGCAAAGCCAGAACAAGGUUCUCACUACCUGGGUGAAACAGAUCGGGGUCCUGGCCUACAAGGUGGAGGACAGCCUCAUGGAUUUUGGCCUCCACUCAGAGAAAAAGCCAUUUUUGGGGUGCAUCCCCUGCAAUCCGGGUGAUCGACGCCGCAUCGCCAAGGAGGUGAAGGAGCUGAGGGCCAAAGUGGAGGACGUGAGCAACAGGAACCUGCGCUAUCACCUCAUCAAGGAGAGCUCAGGCUCCAAGCCUACCAUGGCAGAGGAGCAGGCCAGCAUUGCUACUGCGGCAAUGUGUGGCAUCAACGAAGCAAGGCUUGCUGCAUUGGAGCAUGAAGAUUCAUCACAGGUGGACCUCCAUCAGUUGAUUUCCAGCAAGGAUGUGGACCUUAGGGUGAUCGCCAUGUGGGGUAGUAGCGGUGAUCUUGGGAAGACGUCGGCCAUCCAGGAGGUCUAUGAUGACCCAAAGAUAUUGGAAAGGUUUGGAUUCCGUGCUUGGAUUAGGUUGAUGCAUCCUUUCAAUCCACAAGAGUUUCUCCGCAGCUUGGUAAGGCAAUUUUAUGAAAAUUCUCAUGAAGAGGUUGGAAAGCCAUCUUUCAAUCCACAAGAGUUCCUCAGGAGCUUUGUAAGGCAAUUUUAUGAAAACCCCCAUGAUGAGAUUGGAAAGCUAGAACAAGAAACAAGUGUCGGGGCUAAUGUUCUGGCCAAGAUGGAGAAGAUGGAUCAAAAAGAGUGGCAUUGCAUUAAGAAGUACUUUCCCGACAACAAGAAACAAAGUAGAAUCAUCGUUUCCACGCAGCAAGCUGAAAUUGCAAGGUUGUGCACAGAGAAACCAUACCAAGUUUCGGAGUUGAAGCAGUUGUCAUCUGAUCAAACAAUUUAUUUGUUCCACACAAAGUUGCAGAAUUCAGAACAGCAGAUCAGCAUGGAUGGUGUUCAUGUCGCAAUUUGUGACACCAACCACAAAGCAAGGCUUGCUGCGGUGGAGGAGAAACCAAAGGCUAUGCAUGCAUCAUGUUCUGCCGAGCCUGUUUCCGACUCAAACAAAGUUACUACUGCCAAGAAGAAUACAUCAAUGUCCACCGGUGAAAUACAGGAGGAAGACCAGGAACAUAAUAAUGCAGGUGCUGAAAAAGCUCAUAACUCAACUGUUAGAAAGAAGGUUGAUCGCAGCAGGACACUGACACUGGCUGAUGAACUGCUCUGUGGGCGAGAAACAGAGAAAUCUUUUGUUAUCAAGUUAGUUGGCCAACCAGACCACAAUCAAGGCCGUAAGGUGAUUUCAGUUUGGGGAAUGGGGGGUCUUGGAAAAACCACUCUUGUCCGAAGCAUCUACCGAAACCAAGAGCUUGGUGGCUGGAAGCGUGCUUGGGCCACUGCAUUGCGUCCUUUUAACCCUGAAGUGCUCCUUAGAGAUUUGUCUUGGCAGCUUCAGAAUACUGUUCAAGAAAAUCCUGCUGGAGCAACAACAACUGGCAUGCAGAAGAAAAACAUAUCAGGGAUGAAACUUCAAGAGUUGAAGCAGGAGCUAGCUCGGCUACUAACAGAAAAGAAGUGCCUUAUUGUUCUUGAUGAUAUAUCGUCCACUUCUGAAUGGGAGUUGGUCAAACACUGCUUAGAUAAUGCUGAACGGAUCAUAGUCACCACAAGAGAAAAAAAUAUUGCCGAACAUUGUUCAAGAGAAGACAGGAACAUGUACUCUCUUGCAGUUCUGAAAUAUGAUGAGUCACUUGACCUGUUCAUAAAGAAGGAGCCUUCCUAUGGCAGUCACAGAUUUGGCGGAAACCAGGGCAACAACUUGCGCCAUGUGAGCCAUGACUGGCGGCUUGCUGGAUCUGCAGGAAUCAUCUUGUUCGCAGGUUGCGACCGUGCUUGGUGGUUCAACAUCUUUACACUGUGGAUAGGGCGUCUUGCCUGCUCAUCUUGGACUUGCUGGCUCUUCCUCCUCAUUGUAUUCAAAGACAAUAUUGUAAAAACUGAUUUAGCCCCAGCUGUAAUGGAGCAAGCAAGACUUAUCCUGCAAAAAUGUGGUGGACUUCCCCUUGCAAUAACGACCAUCGGUGGAUUCUUAGCCACUAAGCCAAAAACUGCGAUUGAAUGGAGAAAAAUGAAUGACUGUAUUAGCUCUGAACUGGAGAUAAAUCCUGAACUUAUGACAAUAAAGUCAAUUCUUAUGAGGAGCUAUGAUGGUCUACCAUACCAUCUCAAGUAUGCUUUCUUGUACCUGUCCAUAUUUCCAGAAGACCACCGCAUUAGGUGGGGUCGCUUGAUGAGGCGGUGGAUUGCAGAGGGUUACGCAAGGGACAUGCUUGGCAUCACUGCAGCUGAACUUUGUCGAAGGUACUUUGAUGAGCUUUUGGAUAGGAGUAUGAUCCUGCCAGGGGAAGGGAUAGACCAAUACAAACAGAAAAUCAGUUCUUGCCAACUUCAUGAUAUGAUCCGUGAAAUAUGUAUCUCAAAAGCUAGGGAAGAAAACCUUGUUUUCACACUGGAGGAAAGAUGUUGUUUGAGUGAGACACAAGGUGCAAUACGCCAUCUUGUCAUAGGCAGCAACUGGAAAAGGGACAAAGAUGUGCUGGAGAGCAUGCUAGACUUGUCACACGUACGGUCAUUGACCGUGUUUGGAGAGUGGAGAUCGUUUUUCAUCUCCGAAAAUAUGAGGUUUGUGCGAGUGCUUGACUUAGAAGACACACUGGGGUUAAGAGAUCAUCAUCUUGAUCAAAUCGGGCAGCUUCGUCACCUCAAGUACCUUUCUCUUCGAGGAUGUCGCAACAUUUUCUGCCUGCCUAAUUCUUUCAGGAAUUUGAGGCACCUCGGAACACUGGAUGUUAGAGUACUUUGCUGUCCAGGUCAUGUUUUCUUGAGACCACAAGUUUUAGAUGCCGGCUUGAACAGGUAUGAUAUAUUCAAUCUAUACCGCUUCCAGGAGAGGAACCUAGAUGGGAUUAUUCUUCCUAGAGGGAUUGGUAAAUUGAAGGCCCUUCAUGCACUAGGUGCUGUUGAUGUUUCUAGGAGCGGUGGAAAUGCCACUGUAAAAGAGUUUGGAGAGCUUACUCAGCUACGUAAGCUUAAAGUGGGUGGUUUGAGCUACAGAAACAUCAAUGAGUUAUGGUCUGCCAUUGCUGGUCAUAAUCAACUUCUGUCUUUAUCAGUUGAAAUAGGUGACCUGAGGAAAGAGAGGAAUGAGUUAGAUGGCUGUUUGGGUGAGGGUUUGUUGCCACCAAGCAGCCUCGAGAGCCUCACUCUGCUUGGUAAGCUAGUCAAUGUAACAGGAUGGAUCCAUAAGCUCCAGAAUCUCUCCAAGUUGGUGCUAAGGUAUAGCAGAUUGAAGCAAGAUGAUGAUGCCAUACAAGCCCUUGGGUUACUACCAAAUCUUGCAGCUCUACGUUUGAGAAUGUAUUCGUUCGAUGGGACACAGCUACAUUUCCAGAGCUCAUCUUUCCCGAGUCUCAUGGUGCUGGAGUUGUUUUGGUUAGACAACCUCCAGUCGGCGCUGUUUGAAGAAGAGGCAAUGCCCAAGCUCGAGCUGCUACAAGUUGGUUGGUGCAAAAAUCUGAAUGCAUUCUCCGGGCUGCCAGCCCUCACAAGCCUCAAGGAAAUUCGGUUGGAUAGUGAUCUGGAAGAAAGUGUGAAGGAAUCGGUGCAGAGUCAGGUAGCGGAGCAUAUGAAGCACGAGGAGGACAGCAUACACCAUCUCCAUCUGGACCGGCAGAUGCACGGUUCAGAAUUAUUCAGAUUUAGAGGGCUGCAGAAGUCAUCUUUCCCUAGCCUCAUGGUGCUGAAGCUCUUUGGAUUAGACAACCUCGAGUCGGUGCUGUUUGAAGAAGACACAAUGCCCAAGCCUGGGCUGCUACAAAUUGGUGUGUGCAGAGAGCUGAAGGUCAUCUCCGGGCUGCCAGCCCUCACAAGCCUCAAAGAAAUUCAGUUGCCUAAUGCUGGUGACAGUUAUUACAGUAAAAUAUUAGAGGUGCAGAGGGAAGAGGUGGAGAGGCAGAUUUACUCGAGCACCAACCAUUUCCCUAGAUAUACUCCAUUGAAACGGGCCGGAGUAAAUUUCUGCUCUUUGUCUCUCUCGCCUCCUCCUGCUGCCCUGCUGCUUCGCCGGUGCUCCUCCGGCGCGAUUGGCAAGUUCAAGCGAGUUGUGGCUGUCUCAACUGCUCGAGCUCUAUGGCAGCACACCGUGGAUGCAAGAGCAGCCCGGCCCCAGCAUGCGUGCAAGGGCAGUAAUCCUGGCGAUGGACCGACCGCGGAGAGAGCCCGGCAAAUUAAGGGGUGUGGUGGCCCGGUGGGAGUCGUACAGGCGCGCGGCGGCGGCAGCCUCGAUGGCGUCGCCGCUCCGGGGCCGGGCGAAGCCCGUGCAGCGCCGGCGGCGGUGGGGCCCCUCCUCCUCCCUGCUUGGUGGUGGCCGACGCAGGACGGCGCCGCCGGGCUGUGGCGCGGCGCUACUGUGGGGCGCGGGGGCGUGGUGCUGGAGUCGCCGCAAUCGCGGCUGGCCUCGGCAUCCGUGCGGACUGCUGCGUGGCGGUGGUGCACGCUCGUACUGGUGGCGGUUGUGCAGCGGGAUCCCGAUCUGGCUGCGGGCGGCGUGGCCGCAAUGCGGGCGGCGCGGGAGCUGGAGUCGUGCCCUUCUUGGUGCGGUGGCUCGGCCGACGGAUGGCCUGGUGGCCGCUGGUGGUUCCUCCUGCCGCUCCUGGAGAUCCCCUUGUGUCUCCAUGUAGGUGGGAUGGCUGCUGCGUGGCUACGGGGCGGGUGGCGGCGUGCUCGUCCUGGAUCUGGCGUCGGGAUCCGGGCGGACGGCGUGGGUUGGGCAGCAGCCUGGCGUGGCUGUUGCUCCAGCCGUGGGCGGCGGCGCGAGGAGGUCCGACGCAUGGACGGUGAGCUCCUGGUGGCGCGGCCGCUACACGGUGGCUCAGCGGCUCUGCUCACGGCGAUGGCCGGCUUCUUCUCCGGCGUCGGCUCGUCUGCGGGCGGACCGUUUCGACCUUCACUUCAUCUCCUUGUCGUCCGAGCGCUACUCCCAUCAAAAGGCUGGUCCUCUCCUAGCUGCGGUCCAUUGCUCGUCUCGCGCCCGGUGCUGCAGAACCGAGCUCGUCUCGCACACGGUGCAGCAGGACCAAGCUCGUCUCGCGCACGGUGCAGCAGGACUGACCUCUUCCCUCUCUCGGUGCUACAGGACCGAGCUUCUCGCGCUCAGGGCAGCAGGGCGGGUCGGUGGAUGCCAGUUCUGGCCGGCCUAUUGGGUCUCGACACUGGGGGUCACCCAGGAGCCCGUGCCUUGGUGUUGCCCGGUCUCCAUGGCUGUGUGGGCGGCGUGGUUGCCGAGGUGUGGCGUUCGGUGGCGGUGAGUGUUGGCCGAGCUUCAUCUCUUCGUGGUGGUAGUGCUAGGGGUGGUGUUGCUGCGCUCAGCGCCUAUGUAUCUUGUCCUGGCUAUAAUCUUGGUUUGUAUCCCCCACAACCAUUUUUGUGGUGCAUCACCAAGGAGGUGAAGGAGGGCCAAGGUAGAGGAUGUGAGCAACAGGAACCUGCGUUGUGGCCUCAUCAAGGAGUGUUCAGGCUCCAAGCCUACCGCAACAGAGCGCCAGACGGGCAUUGCCACUGCUGCAAUGCUUUGCAUCAACAAAGCAUGGUUUGA